GCCCUCAUAGCACAAAUGGAUAGUGUAACUGACUUCUAAUCAGUAGGCUCCAGGUUCGAAUCCUGGUGAGGGUA
This 74-nucleotide transfer RNA is filed under the name Candidatus Uhrbacteria bacterium. RNAcentral describes it as "tRNA-Arg". It matches the Rfam family "tRNA". Rfam says of the family: Transfer RNA (tRNA) molecules are approximately 80 nucleotides in length. Their secondary structure includes four short double-helical elements and three loops (D, anti-codon, and T loops). The record is from RNAcentral. Lineage: Bacteria; Candidatus Uhriibacteriota.